This 153-nucleotide small nucleolar RNA is filed under the name Drosophila ananassae. Its description in RNAcentral is "snoRNA:GF26031". Lineage: Eukaryota; Metazoa; Arthropoda; Insecta; Diptera; Drosophilidae. The record is from RNAcentral.
GCCGCACAAAUCCCUAUUGAGGCAACUAUUCUGUAGUUGACCCCAGUAAGACCUCAACAACGUGUCUAAGUGCGAGAUUAACCCAAAGACUUGGCGUCGCAUUUGCCAUAAACCAUAAUACCCGGAAUGGCGAAUUGAAACUUCGAGUUACAA